CUACGUGCCAGCAGCCGCGGUAAUACGGAAGAUCCGAGCGUUAUCCGGAUUUAUUGGGUUUAAAGGGAGCGUAGGCGGGAAUCCAAGUCAGUUGUGAAACCCUGCGGCUCAACCGUAGUCGUGCAGUUGAAACUGGAUUUCUUGAGUGCGCACAGGGCAGACGGAAUUUGUGGUGUAGCGGUGAAAUGCUUAGAUAUCACGAAGAACUCCGAUCGCGAAGGCAGUCUGCCGGGGCGCUACUGACGCUGAGGCUCGAAAGUGCGGGUAUCAAACAGGAUUAGAUACCCUGGUAGUCCGCACUGUAAACGAUGGAUACCCGUGGUCGGUUUUUUUAUUCGGUCACCAAGCGAAAGCGUUAAGUAUCCCACCUGGGGAGUACGCCGGCAACGGUGAAACUCAAAGGAAUUGACGGGGGCCCGCACAAGCGGAGGAACAUGUGGUUUAAUUCGAUGAUACGCGAGGAACCUUACCCGGGCUUGAAUUGCAGAGGAAGGA
RNAcentral lists this ribosomal RNA (495 nucleotides) under uncultured bacterium. RNAcentral's name for it is "bacterial SSU rRNA". It matches the Rfam family "Bacterial small subunit ribosomal RNA", at positions 501 to 999 of the family's 1533-position model. The record is from RNAcentral.